GGCCGCGGAGCAGAUGAGGACCAGAGGCUCCCCCGCAAGUGCCCGGCCCUCCGGGGGCUGGGUCUCCAGGAGCACUCCGGACACCGGGACCCCUGCGUGGACACGAGACAGCGGAUGGCUGCGAUCCGCAGUUCCGGGGACCGGCUCCAGUCUGACAGCACGACCCUGCGGUCCCUGAAGAAGCCGAAAUGAAGCACAGUGUCCGGCCGCUCUGGAGGCAGCUGAGUUUCGCAGCUCAGGUUCACAGAACUGCCCUCUGUGGGCUGGGAGGGGGUGACUUUCAGCUUCGGGUGUGGAAACAGUUCUAGAGAGAAGAGGGAAACCAAGGUCUCAGAGGGCGGCCCUGGGGGCCCUGGAGCAGGCGGGCUCGGCUGCUGGGUCCUGGGGAACUUCAGACACAAGGCACGACACGGGCGGACCCCGCCUUCCCCUCUUUCGGGCCCAGCUCGAGUGCAAGGGCCCCGCGGCUCUGCCUGCCGGGGACACGCGUCCCUCGUUACCCAGCGUUGGGACGGCGAUGUGUGGGUGCCCUGUCACACGCUGAGCAAGUCGAUAAUCUGCAUGAAAUGAAAGGUUUACCUUGAAUUUGA
Long non-coding RNA from Leopardus geoffroyi (Geoffroy's cat), 590 nucleotides. RefSeq lists it as uncharacterized. The transcript has 2 exons. NCBI's taxonomy places the organism in Eukaryota, Metazoa, Chordata, Mammalia, Carnivora, Felidae. The record is from RefSeq and is a predicted model, not a curated record.